Molecule: long non-coding RNA, 193 nt
Organism: Anneissia japonica
Lineage: Eukaryota; Metazoa; Echinodermata; Crinoidea; Comatulida; Comatulidae
Exons: 3
Source: RefSeq, a predicted model, not a curated record
AAUAAUUCAUAUAUUAAUAGUGUUUAUUUAUAUUUUCAAGGGAACACUGGGCCACCUGGACCACCAGGAGGCCCAGCAGGUAAUCCGAUAGACCCAUGUACUUCCAAUCCCUGUGUGAAUGGGAUCUGUAGAAAGUCAGGCUCUUCUUAUUCAUGCAUCUGCAAUCGAUGCUAUUCAGGAAGCAGAUGUCAAU